RNAcentral lists this long non-coding RNA (1945 nucleotides) under Olea europaea (common olive). RNAcentral's name for it is "long non-coding RNA (OEUR_LNC002350)". Lineage: Eukaryota; Viridiplantae; Streptophyta; Magnoliopsida; Lamiales; Oleaceae. The record is from RNAcentral.
UAAAACAUAUAAACCCACAAAAUACAGCGCCUUCAAUUUCUCCGCUCAAAAUCAAUGCCCAAUUCACAUGUACACAUACAUAGAUUGUUAAAGACCUGAUAAUUACACCCCCACACACCUUCAAUCCACAUUUCUCUGACGCCGUUGUAUCGAACCAUCAAUUCUGUGAUGGACCCGCUGACGCUUCUCCGGGAGUACACAAUUCGGAACGCCCUCGACAAGAUCGUGCGGGUCAAUGACGAGUACCGAUUCGGCACCGACUACUCCUUUCCGGCUGCAAUCGAGACUGCAUACCGCUCCAAGCACGGCUCGCGUUAUACGCUUGAAACCCUAAUCUACUUCAUCACCAACUACCACCUGAAGCAUGUAGAUUACAUGCAGAAUGCACGCGCCCUCAGGAUCCCUCCUGUCACGCUUCCCGACCGGAAAGCCCUCCUUGAUUACCUUACCGGAAAAAUUAAGUCUUCUGACUCCAUCCUCCCCCUCGAUUUCCCGAAUAUUCCCCACGUCGCUCCUGCUAAUGUAGAUCGUAAUCUGGAACUUGAUGGGAAUGAAUUUCCUACACUGGAUGGUUUAGUGAAUGAGAAGAAGUCGAUAGAACUAAUUAUGGCCAGGGAGAAGCCUAUCAAAGACAGGCAGGGCAUGUUGGUUUCUAAGGGAUUGUCCCGCAUUGAUUCCAUUCUCAUGAAGAAGUUGCAGACUAUUCAAGUUGGGAUUAGGAUAGUCGCUUCUCUAAAAUCGGCAAAUAGGCUUCCAAAAGCUGAGAGUAGCAGAAAGUCUCGCUUCAUCUUCUCAAACUCUCUUACAAGCCUAAAUUUCAAGAACUCCAUAGCUGCUGAAACUAAUCUGGCAUUUUCCAUUUAAAAGUUUUGUCGAUACUCUAGGAGCCAAGUAUUUGGAUCAAAUUGUACUGCAUUGGCACUCCAUUUUCCUUGUUCUAUAAAACUCAACCGUGAAGUCACAUGCUCAAUUUAGACACAAAAUAAGAUUGGAUUUACGCUGACAUGUUCCUCAGAAUCUAACCAUCUUUGAAGUUUUGUUUUUAACUGAAAUCAAGUCUCCUUUCAAAAUUUUGAGAUGAAAUUCUAUGGGACUCAAAUACAAGCGCUCAAUUUAGACACUCAGAAUAGUUUGGACUAAUUCAAUUAGUACCUAUUAUGUUGUUUUACCCAAAAUCAACUCAUCUUUGAAAUUCUGAUAUGAAACUCAACAUGACUCCAAGACCCACAAAAUAGUUUGGCGUAUUCGAUUUGUACGUACCAUGUCGAUCUCCGAAGUUCAACUUUCUUAGUUGAAACAAAAAGACAUCCUUGAAAAUUAUAAGAGUUGAAGGCGCAUUCUCAAUUCUCCAUAGUUUGAAACAAAAAUUUGACGAAUUCAAUUUGUACCUACAAUAUCGUUUUUCAAAUGCUGAACUUUUAUAUUUAAGCGAACAUAUAUUGAGUAUUUGGUGAAAAUUAAAAUUAAAUUUUUUAGUAAAUUAUAAUAAAAACUUUUUAAAACGUAUAGUUCAAAAGUUGUGGGAUGCACGAAAAAUGUGGUAAAUAGUUAUUAUUUUGCUUUGACCUAGAUUAAAAUCGCACGAAUCAGGCUCACACAGUUACAGCAACCCGCCCUCCGCUGCCUGCAGCCCGCUCUGCUCCCUCCCCAAUCAGUCAAUCACAUUAGGGUGGCCAAUACAUAAAACAUAUAAACCCACAAAAUACAGCGCCUUCAAUUUCUCCGCUCAAAAUCAAUGCCCAAUUCACAUGUACACAUACAUAGAUUGUUAAAGACCUGAUAAUUACACCCCCACACACCUUCAAUCCACAUUUCUCUGACGCCGUUGUAUCGAACCAUCAAUUCUGUGAUGGACCCGCUGACGCUUCUCCGGGAGUACACAAUUCGGAACGUCCUCGACAAGAUCGUGCGGGUUAAUGACGAGUACCGAUUCGGCACCGAUUAC